AUAUACAGACAUACUACCCUGAAUGUGCCUGACUCAUCUCAGAAGAUAAGCAGGGUCAGGCCUGGUUAGCACUUGGAUGGGAGACUGCGUGGGAAUACUGAUCGCUGUAGGCU
Ribosomal RNA from Cricetulus griseus (Chinese hamster), 113 nucleotides. Lineage: Eukaryota; Metazoa; Chordata; Mammalia; Rodentia; Cricetidae. The record is from Ensembl.